AUUGAACGCUGGCGGCAGGCCUAACACAUGCAAGUCGAACGGUAACAGGAAGAAGCUUGCUUCUUUGCUGACGAGUGGCGGACGGGUGAGUAAUGUCUGGGAAACUGCCUGAUGGAGGGGGAUAACUACUGGAAACGGUAGCUAAUACCGCAUAACGUCGCAAGACCAAAGAGGGGGACCUUCGGGCCUCUUGCCAUCGGAUGUGCCCAGAUGGGAUUAGCUAGUAGGUGGGGUAACGGCUCACCUAGGCGACGAUCCCUAGCUGGUCUGAGAGGAUGACCAGCCACACUGGAAAUGAGAAACGGUCCAGACUCCUACGGGAGGCAGCAGUGGGGAAUAUUGCAGAAGGGGCGCAAGCCUGAAGCAGCAAUGCCGCGGGUAUGAGGAAGGACUUCGGGUUGUAAAGUACUUUCAGCGGGGAGGAAGGGAGUAAAGUUAAUACCUUUGCUCAUUGACGUUACCCGCAGAAGAAGCACCGGCUAACUCCGUG
Molecule: ribosomal RNA, 490 nt
Filed under: uncultured bacterium
Lineage: Bacteria
Description: partial 16S ribosomal RNA
Rfam family: Bacterial small subunit ribosomal RNA
Source: RNAcentral